GAGGUGGCCGAGCGGCUGAAGGCACAGGUUUGCUAAACCUGCGUAGGGGCAACUCUACCGAGGGUUCGAAUCCCUCCCUCUCCG
This 84-nucleotide transfer RNA is filed under the name bacterium. RNAcentral describes it as "tRNA-Ser". It matches the Rfam family "tRNA". From Rfam's summary of the family: Transfer RNA (tRNA) molecules are approximately 80 nucleotides in length. Their secondary structure includes four short double-helical elements and three loops (D, anti-codon, and T loops). The record is from RNAcentral.